GUUUUGGAAUUUAUAUUUUUAACCAACUACCCAGUGAAAACCAUUUCCUCCUCACCAUGGACUCCAUCCAGAGGCUGCACCCAUCUCUCCCACGUCAACAGUCCUGUGUCCUUGGCAGAGGACAGUGCUCUCAUUCUGGGCCUUUCCCUUCUUCCUCGGCCAAAGCCCUGCUCCUGCACCUCCCCGCAGCUAAUAAAAAGGCUGAGUUCCCCGAUGCGGGGCAAGCUCCCA
Molecule: non-coding RNA, 231 nt
Organism: Leptonychotes weddellii (Weddell seal)
Lineage: Eukaryota; Metazoa; Chordata; Mammalia; Carnivora; Phocidae
Source: RefSeq, a predicted model, not a curated record